GAUGAACGCUGGCGGCGUGCCUAAUACAUGCAAGUCGAGCGAAAAGACGCGGAGCUUGCUCCUUUGACGUUAGCGGAGGACGGGUGAGUAACACGAGGAUAACCUACUUAUAUGACUGGGAACAUCUCGGGAAACCGGAGAAAAUACCGGAUAAUCUAUUGAAGCGCAUGGGUCAAUAGUGAAAGACGGCUUUGCUGUCACUACUCGAUGCAUAUGGGCCGGUGUAGCUAGUUGGUAGGGUAACGGCUUAUCACGGCAACGAUGCGUAUCCGACCUGCCUGGGGGAUCGGCGGCACGGGAGCUGAGACACGGUCCAGGCUCCUACGAGAGGCAGCAGUAGGGAAUCUGCCGCAGUAGGCGGAAACCUGACGGAGCAACGCCACGUGAGUGAUGAAAGUCUUCGGAUCGUAAAACUCUGUUAUUAGGGAAGAACAAAUUUGUAAGUAACUAUGCACGUCUUGACGGUACCUAAUCAGAAAGCCACGGCUAACUACGUG
RNAcentral lists this ribosomal RNA (497 nucleotides) under uncultured bacterium. Its description in RNAcentral is "partial 16S ribosomal RNA". It matches the Rfam family "Bacterial small subunit ribosomal RNA", at positions 28 to 507 of the family's 1533-position model. The record is from RNAcentral.